AUAUUCUGAUUUUUUAAAUUUUUUUAGUUUAUUAUAAUUUUUUAUCGGAGCUUUUAGAAUUAUCACAAUCAAGUUCUACAACCUAAUUUAGUUGGUUAAAUAUUACUAUAUCGCUAAUACAGAGAUGAUAUACAAAGUAAUGCGGUGAUUGAAGCUACGUUAAUAAUUAAGAUGCUGCAUUACUUUACAUCAACGAUGCAUUAAAAUUUAGGGUUAACUGCAUACAACACCUUACAAAUAUAGUGAAUUUAAAUAUAUCUCUGUAAAGUUCAGCUUUUAUAUAUUGUCUCUACAAAAGUUCUAAUAUUUUUCAAUAUGUCUCUCUGAUUUGUUACCGUUAUAGAACUGUUCAUAUUUUAAAUGAAAUGUCAUUUUUGUCAUCACAAAUAUGUCACUCCAUAUAGGAGGGGCAAAAAUAUCAAGUUAUCUCAUAAACUAACUAAGGUUAAGCAUUUAAUAUAUGGUUAACUAAAAUUUCCUAACGGAUUCUAAUGACAGGAACAUAUUUGAAAAUAUUAAGAUUUUUGCAGAAAUAACAUAUAAAAAUUGAACUUUGUAGGAUUAUAUUUAUAGUUCACUAUAUUUACAUGAACCCGUAUAAAAUUAACCCUAAAAUUUAAUCAACUAGAUUAAAUUAUGUAAAUUUAAUUAUAAUAAUUUUAAAAAUUUGAGUUAAAAAUUAUAUUAAAUUAAAAUUUGGGGAGUAAAACGUCAAAUGUCUUAUGGGACGGGGAUGCGUCAACAGAGGAGCCAGUCAAGCCGCGUCGUUGGUGGGGGCCACGCGUGCGUCCGCAGUGAUAAAAUUUAUUAUUAUUUGUGGCGUCACCUUCCGAUAUAAUUAAAAGGGUCCACCUCACUUGAGCUGGACUUCACUUGUUUUGUAAAUAACCCCUCAUAUAAUUAAGAGAAAAACUUUAAAAAACCCUAGUGGUUUCGCACUUUUUUUAUUUUAGUACCAUAUGAUUUAAAGUGUAUCAAGUUAGUACCUGUAGUUUUGUAGUUUCUCACUUUAAUACUCUGUGGUUUAAAGUGUAUCAAGUUAGUACCCUGUGAUUUUGUAGUUUCUCUUAGUACCCUAUGGUUUUAUUUUUGUAUCAAAUUAAUUUAUAUUUUUCUUAAUGAAUAUUAAACCACAGGGUACUAAAGUGAGAAAGUGCGAAACUACAGGGUACUAACUUGAUACACUUUAAACUGCAGGGUACUUAAGCGAGAAAGUGCGAAACUACAGAGUACCAACUUGAUACACUUCAAACCACAAGGUACUAAAGUGAAAAAAAGUGAAACCACAAGGAGGUAUUUGAAGUUUUCCAUAUAAUUAAAUAAGUUGCUUAUGGUUAUUUACCUUUUACUAACUAUUCAAAAUUUUUAAAUUUAUCUUCAAAUUAUAACAAAUCAUUCUAAAAUUUAAUUUUAUUAGCAAACCUUUUAAAAAUAAAAAUUUUUGAAGGAAUUUUUUAAAUUAAUUAACAAAGGUAUUUUGGUCCUAUAGGAUUUGUUAGAUAUUACUUCUAUUAAAAAAGGCCAAUUUGCAUAAAAAAUUCACUUAUUUUGGGCUUUUGCAAAACCGGAUCACCUUUUUCGUUUUUGCAGAUUCGGUCCGCUUUUUCAGCAAACUGACCAAAAUAUCCUUAUUA
RNAcentral lists this long non-coding RNA (1634 nucleotides) under Ananas comosus (pineapple). RNAcentral describes it as "long non-coding RNA (ACOM_LNC007639)". Lineage: Eukaryota; Viridiplantae; Streptophyta; Magnoliopsida; Poales; Bromeliaceae. The record is from RNAcentral.